UGGGUAGCAAACAGGAUUAGAUACCCUGGUAGUCCACGCCCUAAACGGUGGGCAUUAGGUGUAGGGCUCGUAAGGGUUCUGUGCCGAAGGGAAACCAUUAAAUGCCCCGCCUGGGGAAUACGGCCGCAAGGUUAAACUCAAAGGAAUUGACGGGGGCCCGCACAAGCGGUGGAGCAUGUGGUUCAAUUCGACGCAACGCGAAGAACCUUACCUGGGCUUGACAUCCGCUGACAGUCCUGGAAACAGGAUCUUCCCCGCAAGGGGACAGCGUGACAGGUGCUGCAUGGCUGUCGUCAGCUCGUGUCGUGAGAUGUUGGGUUAAGUCCCGCAACGAGCGCAACCCUCAUCCUUAGUUGCCAUCAUUGAGUUGGGCACUCUAAGGAAACUGCCUCGGUGAACGGGGAGGAAGGUGGGGAUGACGUCAAGUCCUCAUGGCCUUUAUGUCCAGGGCUACACACGUGCUACAAUGGGCGGUACAAAGGGUUGCAAUACUGCGAGGGGGAGCUAAUCCCAAAAAACCGCUCUCAGUUCGGAUUGGAGUCUGCAACUCGACUCUAUGAAGGCGGAAUCGCUAGUAAUCGCGGAUCAGAAUGCCGCGGUGAUACGUUCCCGGGCCUUGUACACACCGCCCGUCACACCAUGAGAGCUGAUUGUACCAGAAGUCGCUGUGCUAA
Molecule: ribosomal RNA, 674 nt
Filed under: uncultured delta proteobacterium
Lineage: Bacteria; Deltaproteobacteria
Description: bacterial SSU rRNA
Rfam family: Bacterial small subunit ribosomal RNA
Source: RNAcentral